AGGAUGAACGCUGGCGGCGUGCCUAAUACAUGCAAGUCGAGCGAACGGACGAGAAGCUUGCUUCUCUGAUGUUAGCGGCGGACGGGUGAGUAACACGUGGAUAACCUACCUAUAAGACUGGGAUAACUUCGGGAAACCGGAGCUAAUACCGGAUAAUAUUUUGAACCGCAUGGUUCAAAAGUGAAAGACGGUCUUGCUGUCACUUAUAGAUGGAUCCGCGCUGCAUUAGCUAGUUGGUAAGGUAACGGCUUACCAAGGCAACGAUGCAUAGCCGACCUGAGAGGGUGAUCGGCCACACUGGAACUGAGACACGGUCCAGACUCCUACGGGAGGCAGCAGUAGGGAAUCUUCCGCAAUGGGCGAAAGCCUGACGGAGCAACGCCGCGUGAGUGAUGAAGGUCUUCGGAUCGUAAAACUCUGUUAUUAGGGAAGAACAUAUGUGUAAGUAACUGUGCACAUCUUGACGGUACCUAAUCAGAAAGCCACGGCUAACUACGUGCCAGCAGCCGCGGUAAUACGUAGGUGGCAAGCGUUAUCCGGAAUUAUUGGGCGUAAAGCGCGCGUAGGCGGUUUUUUAAGUCUGAUGUGAAAGC
RNAcentral lists this ribosomal RNA (593 nucleotides) under Staphylococcus aureus. RNAcentral's name for it is "bacterial SSU rRNA". It matches the Rfam family "Bacterial small subunit ribosomal RNA", at positions 26 to 601 of the family's 1533-position model. The record is from RNAcentral. Lineage: Bacteria; Bacillati; Bacillota; Bacilli; Caryophanales; Staphylococcaceae.